This 751-nucleotide ribosomal RNA is filed under the name Escherichia coli. RNAcentral describes it as "partial 23S ribosomal RNA". It matches the Rfam family "Bacterial large subunit ribosomal RNA", at positions 489 to 1239 of the family's 2925-position model. Lineage: Bacteria; Pseudomonadati; Pseudomonadota; Gammaproteobacteria; Enterobacterales; Enterobacteriaceae. The record is from RNAcentral.
AGUGAACCAGUACCGUGAGGGAAAGGCGAAAAGAACCCCGGCGAGGGGAGUGAAAAAGAACCUGAAACCGUGUACGUACAAGCAGUGGGAGCACAGAGCAAUCUGUGUGACUGCGUACCUUUUGUAUAAUGGGUCAGCGACUUAUAUUCUGUAGCAAGGUUAACCGAAUAGGGGAGCCGAAGGGAAACCGAGUCUUAACUGGGCGUUAAGUUGCAGGGUAUAGACCCGAAACCCGGUGAUCUAGCCAUGGGCAGGUUGAAGGUUGGGUAACACUAACUGGAGGACCGAACCGACUAAUGUUGAAAAAUUAGCGGAUGACUUGUGGCUGGGGGUGAAAGGCCAAUCAAACCGGGAGAUAGCUGGUUCUCCCCGAAAGCUAUUUAGGUAGCGCCUCGUGAAUUCAUCUCCGGGGGUAGAGCACUGUUUCGGCAAGGGGGUCAUCCCGACUUACCAACCCGAUGCAAACUGCGAAUACCGGAGAAUGUUAUCACGGGAGACACACGGCGGGUGCUAACGUCCGUCGUGAAGAGGGAAACAACCCAGACCGCCAGCUAAGGUCCCAAAGUCAUGGUUAAGUGGGAAACGAUGUGGGAAGGCCCAGACAGCCAGGAUGUUGGCUUAGAAGCAGCCAUCAUUUAAAGAAAGCGUAAUAGCUCACUGGUCGAGUCGGCCUGCGCGGAAGAUGUAACGGGGCUAAACCAUGCACCGAAGCUGCGGCAGCGACACUGUGUGUUGUUGGGUAGGGGAGCGU